CGACUCUCGGCAACGGAUAUCUCGGCUCUCGCAUCGAUGAAGAACGUAGCGAAAUGCGAUACUUGGUGUGAAUUGCAGAAUCCCGUGAACCAUCGAGUCUUUGAACGCAAGUUGCGCCCGAAGCCGUCAGGCCGAGGGCACGUCUGCCUGGGCGUCACA
This 159-nucleotide ribosomal RNA is filed under the name Pteroceltis tatarinowii. Its description in RNAcentral is "5.8S ribosomal RNA". It matches the Rfam family "5.8S ribosomal RNA". Rfam says of the family: 5.8S ribosomal RNA (5.8S rRNA) is a component of the large subunit of the eukaryotic ribosome. It is transcribed by RNA polymerase I as part of the 45S precursor that also contains 18S and 28S rRNA. Functionally, it is thought that 5.8S rRNA may be involved in ribosome translocation. The record is from RNAcentral. Lineage: Eukaryota; Viridiplantae; Streptophyta; Magnoliopsida; Rosales; Cannabaceae.